Molecule: ribosomal RNA, 169 nt
Filed under: Pictetia marginata
Lineage: Eukaryota; Viridiplantae; Streptophyta; Magnoliopsida; Fabales; Fabaceae
Description: 5.8S ribosomal RNA
Rfam family: 5.8S ribosomal RNA
About the family: 5.8S ribosomal RNA (5.8S rRNA) is a component of the large subunit of the eukaryotic ribosome.
Source: RNAcentral
GUCNAAAACGACUCUCGGCAACGGAUAUCUCGGCUCUUGCAUCGAUGAAGAACGUAGCGAAAUGCGAUACUUGGUGUGAAUUGCAGAAUCCCGUGAACCAUCGAGUCUUUGAACGCAAGUUGCGCCCGAAGCCAUUAGGCCGAGGGCACGCCUGCCUGGGUGUCACUAA